This 46-nucleotide non-coding RNA is filed under the name Trichobilharzia regenti. The record is from RNAcentral. Lineage: Eukaryota; Metazoa; Platyhelminthes; Trematoda; Strigeidida; Schistosomatidae.
ACACUUCUGAAGAGUCCAAAAGUUGGACGAAACAGCUUUCCAGUGU